AAAUCCUGUAGGAAUUACUUAGAUUCUGAAAGUCAAUUCUUAUAACCCAAACCUCCAAAAAGAUCCAUUAAACGAUAUUCGACAUAAACAGCAAAUAACUUGCAUGUGUAUGCGCUGAUCAGUUCUGUACUGUCUGCACGCGCAGUGUCGGAUUUCAGCCGCGCGCGUCGUGCGCGAGUAAUUAGAAUGCGCGUGAACGCAGCAUUUUAAACUUCAACCGUUACGGACGUCCGUUUGAGCUCAGCGCUCGAGAGGACGACGAUUAAAUUAAAGCAAAAAGAAGAAAUGUGGGCCGGGCCUGCGCUAUUCUCCGCCAGGAGAUUGUAUUGGACCUAGAAAACGCAUAAAACGAUGUUUCAGGAGCAGUCAAAUCACGUGAUCAGCCAAGACCGCAAGAGAAACCCCGAAGAACAAAGAGAAGAGGUGAUGAAGAUGCUUCUUCUGUGGAUAUAGCUAUGCAUUAUGAAAUGAAGAUGAAGAAAAGACCUUCACAUAACUGCAAUCCAAUGACACAAAAAAGUACAUUAUUUUUACUCACAGUACCAACUUUGGGAAACUUAUAAAUAUGCUAAUCUGAAGUGGCUUAUAUUUGUUUUUCUAUUUUCCAUGUUUAAUGCAAUAAUUAAUAAUAAUAAAUUAAUAUUUCUGUUUGCACUCUCACUGCAGGGAUGGACUCUGGAGUGCAGCAUUACUUCAAUAAGAUGAAAAUAACACACUCCUCUAUGAUUCACAUAAGUUUUAAGAUGUGAUUGUGAGAGAUUCCUUUCUGUUUUCUGUUGUACUGUACUCUCCAUAAGUCUAAUAAAAGUUUUUCUGACUUGCAUCUCCAUCUUAGGAUGUCAAGCCCCCUGAACGCAAAGAGGGUCCGCAUCAAAAUGGUUUGAUUGAUUCUGAUUGAAAACAGAGAUGUCAAAAGUAUCUGUUGGCUAUCUACUUUUUGUUCAAUAUGGAGCACCCAAAAGCCAGUUUCUUUCAUUCAGCACUAUUUAGCCCUUCUCAGUACUGAAUUUACCAUGGGUCAUUUGUUUUUAUUGUUUAAAUGCUUAUCUGAAUGUUAAAUUAUCAUUUAACGCUUAUGAAUUUAAAAACAAUUCUACUAGCUAGUAGCUAGUCUUUUAGUUCAUUUUUUUUUAGAAACAUUUAUUUAUGUUAACUCUUCUAACUAUUGCUCUAUGAAUUGCAGUGUGUUUUAUGUUGCU
Molecule: long non-coding RNA, 1199 nt
Organism: Megalobrama amblycephala (Wuchang bream)
Lineage: Eukaryota; Metazoa; Chordata; Actinopteri; Cypriniformes; Xenocyprididae
Exons: 4
Source: RefSeq, a predicted model, not a curated record